UUUACUUUGGGGCUCCCCCAGCUGCGGGCUGUCAGUCCAAAACAGUUAUGUUCUGGAGGAUGGAUCAUGCAGGUGAGGGUGGAGCUGGGAGCAGUGCAUCCUGGGAUUCUGGAGGAUUGCUUCCAACUCAAACUGGUUUUGUGAACCAGUCUAAUUUACUACAACAUGUACUACGGAAGACAAGCUAAAAAAUAAUCCUCACCUGAAGAGGAUUCUCCCUGAGACGCAUAGAGCCCACUUGGCUCAUCUUACCCUGCCAUAACCAGCAGACACUCCCAUCUUAAGAGACAUAAAAUAUGGCAAAGAUAAGAUGUCACAACACCCUUAAGCUUUCUGUCCUGGACCUCCUGAAUACCCAUAGCUGUUCUAAAGUCACAAGGAGUUGCUGGUGUUCAGUGGCCAAGAAUUUCAAAAGUGACUACCAGGUGCCAAACUUUUAAAGAGGCUUGACUCUCUAAAACUCCUGAACAUUCACCUUAUAUAAUUCAUCUUCUUUAAGAGGUCUUAAGCUAAGCACCCAAAUAUGACACUAAUCACUUUCCACAGUCUUUGCUAACACCCCUAAAGUUCAAGCCCUUAGUGUCUCUGUCUCGGUGUGGGAAAACUGAUAGUCCAUGUCUGGAGACAGUAUUGCAAAUCUUUGUGUCUGAAAGUCUUAGAGAGAGACUCACUUCUCCACUCCCUCUUUUGUUCCCUCCUGAAAAUUGAGCUUUUCCCAUAACUUCUGCCAGAUGAAACAUGCUUCCUGCAGUUCUUGCUCUGCUUAUCUUCUAUUUUCUUAAUGUUCUUUUAUCCCCUCACAUUUCUCACCAUCUUUAGGUUAACCGCUUUAUAUAAUUAGGCAAUCAAGGAUGCACUUUGUAUGAAAGCAGCAAUACAGAAAAUAAAAUACUAUUACCUGCUUAUUAUUAACCAAAUUAUUUAAGAUGGUUGAGUCUGCUGUUAGACUUUUAGGGUUUCUCUUUGGCAUUUCCUGUUUUCAUGUCUGCACCUUUUUCUCAGUUUUCAGGCAUACCAGAAACAUGGGAGAUAGGACAGUGGGACUUUUGGAACCAGAUCUCAGAUUGUGGGAGUGGAAGGCUUUGGUCUGAGAAAGCAAUUUGAGGUGGAGAAAUCGAACUUUGUACUUCUGGAGUUUGCUUUUAAGUAAGAUGGCUACUUAACAGUUCUCGUGUUUUGAACUUACACAAAAUACCAUUAUUUCUCCUCUUUUCCCAACCGCAUUCAGCUUGGUAUAUCUAGACUAUCUGUAGAGCAUUUGUAUUUGUUUGGGGCACACUUUUGAUAUCUUGGGAUAAUUCUAUUAUAUUACUUUUAUGUAAGGACAUUCAUAGCUGAAUAUUUCCAGAAAAUAAUCUACAGUGCUUAAGUAUUAACUGUGAAGAAAAAUGACUGGCAUAAUUUAUCUGUAAAUAAAAACAAUGUUGUUACAUCAUUACUCUAAAUUAGAAUUUACAAGGAACAGAUGUCUUUCAGUGAGCAUGAGUGUAAAUUCAGCAGGGUUUCCAAUUUAGCCCAGCAAAUGAUGACAUAGAAAUUUAUUGCAAACAGAGGGAUGACUGGCUCUGCAUAAUAGUUAUGAAGAUUAUGCCUUUCCCACAAAGCAGUACAAGAUGUUUUCUUUCCUAAGUUUCCAGGGAGACAGUCACAAUCCAGUAGGGGUUACUGUUGUUCUGAAUAAAGCUCUUCAGAAUUUUGUAGUUUUAGCAAUUUUUAAGAUCACAAAUCAUGAGGACAGCAUAUAUCUCAUACAAUAGGAUUUGAAAAAUGAGUUGAAGUACCAUUCACUGACUUGACCUAUUUUUUUUUAAAUCACAACCUUGUAGGACACAAACUUAGACUGGAUGAUUCUGAUACUUCUACUCAGCCAGAAUCAUUAUCUUAACCUCAGGCACAAACUCAGCCAUUAUUUGAAUAUUAAAUCCCUGCAAGAAAAUCUACAAAAUGUCCUAAGAGGUAACAGUUACUAUCCCUUCACAUAGUUAUGUAUAGUAUCUGCAAUGGUACAACAUAUUUAAGGCAAAAUCAAUAUCUAUAUUGUAGAAGUGCCCAGACUUGUGUGUUUUUGUUGUUCUUUGAGAGAGUGAAGAUGGACAAGAGUAACUUGAAUUAAGAGACAAUAAAAUCUGGACUGUCUCCCACAGAAAACCAUCCUAGUAACUACAGACUUUAUUGAUGAAAUUAAAAAUUCCAAACAUGCGAAUAUAUAUCCUCCAGUUUCCUUUUUAAGAUUGUAAACAGAGAUUUAUAGAGAAUUUGUCCUUUAUAGUGUACAAGAAGGUCUUUAUCACAUCAAAGUGGUUAUGUACCAAAUGGGACAGGGCUAAAAAUCUAGGCAAUUGCAAUUCUUUUUGCACUCACCGGAGAAUUAAGUGAAAGUCUAAGAAUUCAAGUUCAACAAGGAUGCAAUUUCUUACAAAAAAAUUCAGUCUAUUGAGUUUAUUCUCUGGUGUUUCAUUUUGCUUGAACCACAGCAAUGCACCAAAUAUUUAAUAUACUUAACAGUGAAUACCAGACUUCUUUACCUGUUCUGUUCUGUAUAGUUUUCUUUUUAUCUUGUAGUCAUCACCGUUGUGUCUGAAUGCUUUCCAAUAGAGUAUUAAGUGAUGUGACCCAUGUCUGUCAUGUUUGUCCUCUCAUCCUCUCCCCAGGGGAAGAAGCAUGCAAUUGAAUGUUUUUUGGAUGUUUUUAUGCUGUCUUCCCACGUUGUUUUGUGUUUGUUAGAGAAGCAAGGUCAAAAAAGGUUGGAGAGGACUUAGUCCUUAGCUCCAAAUAAGAUUUCAUCCCAUACGCUUUGUCAUCCCCCAGCAAGAAAGCAUUCUUUCCUCUAUAAAAGUGCUCCUCCAGCCCUACAGAAAAAAGGACUAGACAGUUUCAUUUAAGGUACUGACUGUCUUCUGCAGUUUAGCUAUUUCUCCUGUUAGACACUGGUCUUUCAAAAAUAUACAUUAGCUUUCAAAGAUAGCCUUGUAUCCUUUUGCAAAACAAGAGGAAAUAAACUGUGCACAUAUUUAGAAGUACAGUAAAGUCUGCUGGAAGCUUCAGGAUAUUUGUUGUAAACUUCUAAAGCCAUGAUGACAGGAUAUGCAUGUGGGAUACCUGCAGGAGGGGCCCAAUGGUGAAGACAGCACUGUCCUAGGAUAACUUAUGUUUGCUUCAGCAUAUGAGUUACAUCCACCUUCACAAGAUCUACAGAGCAUCUAGAGAUCCAUGGUGGAUCAAACCCAUUUUCCAUGUGGUAGUGUCCCCCUUUCCAUGUGCAGAUCUUGAAAUAGUGAUGAUCUGAGCCUUUCAGUGCAGUUUUAGAGCAUGAAGAAUGAAGGUUUGGCUUUCAGAUGCACUGCUUUGGCUGCCAUUACAACUGAAAGGUUAAAAACAUAAAACUCUCUUCUUUUUUCUCCAUAAUCCCAUUUCACACAGCACAGACUUUAGCUUCAGGAGACAAAAAACAUAUACACACAUACACCCAAAGGCCCCUCCCUGCCAUGUGUUAAGGGUUGGACAUGGCCACUAUACUUAGAAAUUAGGGCUAAGAUUUGUCUCUUACUCAAGCUUUUAUAAGAGAUUUUUCACAGCAAGAUUUUUCUCUUAUAUUAAAACAACAUAUGCUCUGGUACAUCCAUCUUAGAUAAGGAAAUAACGAGGCAAUUAGUAUAUUGUUAAGUAUUUAUUGUACUACUGUUUAUCAUUUGAAAGAAGGAAUGAUAUUAUAGGAUAAUAGGUGCUAAAAUUACCCAGUUAAGUCAUGUUUUACAAGUUGUACAUUCUAAAGCGUUUAAAUGAAAACCUAUCCUGGAUGGAUACUUUUACCAUAAAACACUCCCCUGCCUCCACUUCAUUGUGUUUUCAACAGUAAGACAGUGUCAGUAUUUUGAGAAUUUUUUCCCCUCACUUUGACAAAGCAUCUCCACUAAUAUACGUGUUUCAGAAAAUAAGAGUGGAGGACUGAGAAGCUAUUUGUGCAUCACAGAAACAAAGACCAUUAUAUUUGUUACCAAGCAGAGAGACAAAACAAUCUUGUAAUUAACAAAGAGAUAAACAUGCUAGAAAUACUUAUACUUUGAGCAAUACUAUCCAUAUAGCUAGUUAUUUGUUCAGGUACAGUAUCGUCCUUCCAUAAUUUCAAAAGGGGAGAAUUUAAACCUUGGUCCCUGUUAUCAUAUACUGCUGGAAAGGGGUCCUUGUGUAUGGUGGUGGCUUUCAGUCACUAUUGAGUUCCAUUAUCUUGGGCCAGCUAAGUGUGGGGCUAGUACCCUUCCACAAGCUAGUUAAAUCUGACUGAAUCACUAAAGUAUUCCAGCACCCUGUAGUCCCAAAGAGUCAUUGAGGUAUUCCAAGGAGCUGCUUCUAGGACACUGUAGAGAUUUUCUUGCACCGAGGCUGAUCCUUCCUAUGGUUUGUUAUGCUGGCUUUGCAGCUGUUUUGUGCCUGCAAACUAACCACAGUAUGCAUGAAGACUGAAGUCCCUACAGUAUAUUUAACAGAGAAUCCUGAAAGGACCUGAUCACUGUGUGAAUUGGGCCAUUCUAACUAUGAAAAGGCAAUCAUCAGAAGCAUGUUUAUGACCCCAGAUAUAAACCAUUCUUGGCAAGGAUGAUUUAAAAGUGUUCAGAGAGAGGUGGCGCAUCACCAAUUUCAAGAAAAUAGUCUUUUCAUUUGAUGGCUUAAUUUUAACAAGGGAUUCAUGAGGAUAUCAGAUUUUUGGUGACAUAGAAAAGGGGGAGAAGGGAAAGACUUUGUAUGUCAAUAAAGUUUAGGCUUCAUCCAUGGAAUCAUUCAGGCUAGUGAAUACUGAUGUGAGCUAUUUGUGGAUUUUGAUUAAUGAGAUACCCAUGGUCAAUAGGAGCUCAGCUUCAUGAUUUAAAAGUAAUGCUGAUUUGAUAAAUAGGAGAAGGAAGGCAUUCUGAAUACAUGAAUUAAGAUUUUUGGAAGGUUGGUCUCAUCUUGUUUUGUAAGCUCUUGGAGCAAGGCACUGCCUUUCUUCUGUGUCUGUGCAGCACUUAACACAAUGGAGUUUUGUUUUAUGAUCAGGGCUCCCAGGUAUCCCUGCAUCAGAAAUAAAUAAAUAAUAUUUCUCGGAAACUUUACAUAGUGUAUUCCUUUUAUAUUCAGAACCCUAAUAGAAUAAGAGUACACCUUGACUACAACCAUGAACUGCAUAACAUCCCUAAAGUAGCUGAGCAUUAUGAAUGAGCACUAAGUGUCACAUACACUACAUUUUGUGGGCCUGCAGUGCUCAGUUUUAAUACAACUCCAUUAAAGGAAAAAAAAAAAGAUUUUUAAUGACAGAUUGUGAAACAACCUCAGGAUCUUUUUUAAAGAGAGCAAGUAAUAAUUGCCAGACAUGUUUGGCAAAUUACUUCCUCAUUCUGGAGCACCUCGCAAAAAACAAGCCUUUUUUUUUUUUGUAAUAUGCAAGUCAUACAUACCAUUGAAUCUCAUUAAGUAAAAAUCAUUUUAAAGGAUGAAAAUGUGAUUGAAUGCAUGUAUUAGGAGGAGCUCUACAAAAAUAUUGCACAAGCCUUUGUUUCAUCUGCUAUUCAGUUCUGCUGCAUCUAUUUCUGUCCCAGAAACCUGAAGGGUGUUGUGAUACCUGAAAGCUCGUCUGUGUCUAUCCCAACCAUGCAAUUAGUAAAAAAAUAUUACCCACAAGAAUUCUUGCCACUACUGAGGACUGUAAUCUUCCUGGCUUAGUGAGUCCAUAUCUACAUGAGGUUUCAUUAAGAAUGCAUAUUCUGUGUUGGUCAGGCACUGAAUCUGUAUUCUCAAUGAACCCUCAAAACAGUGAGGAGAUUGAGGGUGGGAGAAGAUGGCAUGGAGACAACUAAACUCUUCAAAUUAAUGCGAAGGACUCGCCUGAACAGCUGUCUCCCCUCUGUAUACACAUUUCAGAGGAACUAUCUGGGCCCAUUAGAAGCUAUAGAAAUUUUGGUUUCAGAGUUGCAUUAAAGUAACAUAAAACACGUUAUUCUUUGAUUUAAUAUAUUUUCUUUAUACUGUCCAAAUGUGUUAUGUUUGUGCUAAAUUUAUCUUAAAUAGGCUUUUUAUCCAAGUAGGUAUGUGUCUGUUCAGCUGCUUAACCUAUUUUUCAAAGAACCACUUUGCACUUCCCUAUAGAAUUUAAACUCCCAAAGCCUAAUUCUGUGCACAGAACUGUAAUACACUUCAGUGAAAGUUGUACAUAAGCACCCAAAGGCAGAGUUGAGCCUUAAAUAAGUAAUGUAAUGCUUGAAGUACAUGAUCCUGCUGAGCCAAAUGUACAUAUGCUAGGCAAACAAAACAAGUUGUGCCCUGUGGAUCAAAACAAAAGAAAUGUACUAAGUUAUCUUUAAAAGCAAUUGUAGCCAAAUCCUGACAGAAAAUAAAAAUAAUAAGAUUUUUUAAAUUGCACAGCCACAUAUAAAGAAAACAUGAGGAUGUUUCUUCCAAAGUAGACAACAGCUUAAUUUUUUCAACAAGAAUGGAAUACUUUCCAUUUGCCAUAAUUCAGAAGCAACAAUACUUUUUAUUUGUGGAGAAGGCAGGAGAAAGAUUGGGGAGAUCAAAUGAUUAAUUUACUUUCCUAUCUGAAAAGCAUGAGAGCAAAUUGGUCAGUUUGAGAAAACAUAACCACAUUAUGUCAUUCUUCUGGCUCCAAAAAAUGUUUUAUGCAAUGGGUUACUAGGCCUCACUUUUACUUCUUUCUGAGUAUAAUAUAUUUUAAAAACAAGAUAAGCAUACUGUAACAAGUCAAAUUAUUAGACAUUUAUGGUGUAUUACCUAUGGGCCCCAAUCACUGUGAACUGCAGCUAACCAUCAUGAAAAAUCCAAUCACAAUGGUGUUCUUAGCUCAUCGAAUUAGCAAAUAAGUAGAAUUCACAGUUUCACUCAUUUUCUUUAUAUACCUAUGAAAUAGUGGAAUACAGAAUGUUUUGGCUGAGAGGGCAAGAAUUAUAUUUCCAUGCUUAUUUGCCUUCUGGACUGGAAAGAGGUGAAGAUAAUAUAUGGGAAGAUUCACCCAUCACCAGAUUCUUCUUUCUCCUAUAGCUGGGCAAACAAGAGCCUGAGAAUGAUGUGUAACCUGUGUUGCUGGGUUUUUGGAUGCUAUACAGAAUGGACACCAUUUACACUUUAACUUCAUUUAAAGUGAAGUAGAAUUUUAAUUUACUGCAUUGUAUUAUGUAAAUUACAACCCAAAGUAUUGUGACCCUCUACUUAAAGCUGUCUUCUGAAAAGCUCCUCCUGUAAUCCCAAAUUCCUGCUCCCAGUUCAGCCCCUUUGUAGCUAAAUAGGUUUCUGCUGAACAUUGGAGAAUGGUGGGAAAAUGGUUGGACUUGGUACAGGAAGGCUAAACCCUUACAGUGCAGCAAAGUUGGGUCCUAAGGCCUUCAGAUAGAACUGUACAGAGGAGAGUGUGGGAGGUAGGGCUGGGGCACAUUCAGUUGUGGCCAAAAGAGAUCGUUAUAUUAAUCUAAACCUGACCUGUAUUUAACGGGCCAAAGAAUUUCACUCAGUUGGUAUGUAGCUCCAUCAGCCAACUCCUCACACCCUAGGGGGUAAGCAAAGCAGAGUGUAUUGGUGGCUACAAAAAUGCUUUGUUGGCAUGUUGUUAUCUAGGGACAUGUCUGAGCCCUUGAGAGAACCCCUGUACAGAGUGAUUUAUUGUCCUUGGCCUCUGUGCAGAGGAUCUGGGUCUCAAAAGGGUUCCACUGAACUGCCAAAUCAUAUAGUUGUCAUAGUAUGGACUUUGAUGUCACCUCUCAAAUGGAGGAUUUUGACAGCAUUCCCAUAAACCUUGUACACUUUAUUGGUAUGUGAACUAUCAUAGCAGAAUUCCCAGUGCAUAUUAAUAACUUCUGUUUUCAUCUUUGAAGUUCUAUAAAAAUCUUGUUUGAGCUGGUAAAGUGAUUGACAACAGCCACAAGUGCGAUUUAUCUUGGGGAAGCCAUUUAUUGAAAAACCUAAUUCU
This is a long non-coding RNA of Alligator mississippiensis (American alligator), 7948 nucleotides long. RefSeq lists it as uncharacterized. NCBI's taxonomy places the organism in Eukaryota, Metazoa, Chordata, Crocodylia, Alligatoridae. The transcript is spliced from 2 exons. The record is from RefSeq and is a predicted model, not a curated record.